RNAcentral lists this long non-coding RNA (505 nucleotides) under Trifolium pratense (red clover). RNAcentral describes it as "long non-coding RNA (TPRA_LNC014073)". Lineage: Eukaryota; Viridiplantae; Streptophyta; Magnoliopsida; Fabales; Fabaceae. The record is from RNAcentral.
GCGAGCUUCACGGAUCAACAACAACCUCAACAAAACUUCAUCAAAAAAUACAAAUGAAUACACGAUUUUGCUCGAAAUGUCACAUAGAUCAUGAAUAUAAACUUAGAUUUUUCAAUAGAUGUUUAUAUCUCAGAAACAAGUUCGAAACUUUAAAAACCCAAAAACUUUAAAAUUCACAUUUGUACGAAUUAAACAAAAUCAAGAGUUGGAAAAGCUUCAGUGGGUGUUCAUGAGUAAAAAACGUUUAGAAACCUACUUGUUUUGAGCUUUGCUUAGGUGGAUUAACACCUACUCUUUUCUUUGCUAUUUUGAACCUUGGGUAAGCUUCUCUCAACGGUUUUCCUUCGUUUUUUCUUGUGUGUUUCGCUACUGGUAUGUGUUAGAAGGGAUUGGUGAAAGAAAAUUGAAGUUUGAGGGUGGUUUGAAUGAAUUUCGAAAAAUGGAAGAAAGUGAUGAAAAUGUGAGAUUUUUUUAUCGUUUCUUUUCUUCCUCUCCUCUUCCCCCC